GUACGAUCAUACUUGGCCGUAAGCACCCGUUCUCAGCCGACCACGGAAGUUAAGCGGUUAUAGGCUGUGUUAGUACUUGGCUGGGUGACCGCCUGGGAACUCACAGUGUCGUACU
Molecule: ribosomal RNA, 115 nt
Filed under: Dicyema misakiense
Lineage: Eukaryota; Metazoa; Dicyemida; Rhombozoa; Dicyemidae
Source: RNAcentral